UCGCAUGUUAUGGCCUAUGGCUAUUGCUGACCACUCUGUUUGUAGAGUGUGGAGGGAUAAAAACAUGCUAUAUUACAAAUCUUGGAGUUAACAGGGCCACCAGUCUCUCAAGAACAGACUGAGUUGGUAGUAUAAUACUCCUACACUU
Molecule: small nucleolar RNA, 148 nt
Organism: Lampris incognitus (smalleye Pacific opah)
Lineage: Eukaryota; Metazoa; Chordata; Actinopteri; Lampriformes; Lampridae
Product: small nucleolar RNA U109
Exons: 1
Source: RefSeq, a predicted model, not a curated record